UGGGGAAUAUUGCACAAUGGGCGCAAGCCUGAUGCAGCCAUGCCGCGUGUGUGAAGAAGGCCUUCGGGUUGUAAAGCACUUUCAGCGGGGAGGAAGGCGGUGAGGUUAAUAACCUCAUCGAUUGACGUUACCCGCAGAAGAAGCACCGGCUAACUCCGUGCCAGCAGCCGCGGUAAUACGGAGGGUGCAAGCGUUAAUCGGAAUUACUGGGCGUAAAGCGCACGCAGGCGGUCUGUCAAGUCGGAUGUGAAAUCCCCGGGCUCAACCUGGGAACUGCAUCUGAUACUGGCAAGCUUGAGUCUCGUAGAGGGGGGUAGAAUUCCAGGUGUAGCGAUGAAAUGCGUAGAGAUCUGGAGGAAUACCGGUGGCGAAGGCGGCCCCCUGGACGAAGACUGACGCUCAGGUGCGAAAGCGUGGGGAGCAAACAGG
RNAcentral lists this ribosomal RNA (429 nucleotides) under Chloroflexota bacterium. RNAcentral's name for it is "Chloroflexi bacterium partial 16S ribosomal RNA". It matches the Rfam family "Bacterial small subunit ribosomal RNA", at positions 355 to 776 of the family's 1533-position model. The record is from RNAcentral. Lineage: Bacteria; Bacillati; Chloroflexota.